AACCUGCCCAAGAAAUCGGGAUAACACCUGGAAACAGAUGCUAAUACCGGAUAACAACAGAUGAUGCCUAUCAACUGUUUAAAAGAUGGUUCUGCUAUCACUCUUGGAUGGACCUGCGGUGCAUUAGCUAGUUGGUAGGGUAACGGCCUACCAAGGCGAUGAUGCAUAGCCGAGUUGAGAGACUGAUCGGCCACAUUGGGACUGAGACACGGCCCAAACUCCUACGGGAGGCAGCAGCU
Molecule: ribosomal RNA, 239 nt
Filed under: uncultured Lactobacillus sp.
Lineage: Bacteria; Bacillati; Bacillota; Bacilli; Lactobacillales; Lactobacillaceae
Description: partial 16S ribosomal RNA
Rfam family: Bacterial small subunit ribosomal RNA
Source: RNAcentral